RNAcentral lists this unclassified non-coding RNA (225 nucleotides) under plant metagenome. RNAcentral's name for it is "partial contains small subunit ribosomal RNA, internal transcribed spacer 1, and 5.8S ribosomal RNA". The record is from RNAcentral.
UCUCCGUUGGUGAACCAGCGGAGGGAUCAUUACAGGACUCGCAAGACUCCUACAACCCUGUGAACUUAACUAUAAGCACGUUGCUUCGGCGGGUGUCUCGGAGGGGGUUCUCCCUCCCCGAGACGCUAAACCCGCCGGCAGCCUACUAUACUCUGUCUCUUUGCGUUGGCAUCUCGAGUACAAUCAAACAAGUUAAAACUUUCAACAACGGAUCCCUUGGUUCUG